RNAcentral lists this ribosomal RNA (305 nucleotides) under uncultured bacterium. RNAcentral describes it as "bacterial SSU rRNA". It matches the Rfam family "Bacterial small subunit ribosomal RNA", at positions 334 to 636 of the family's 1533-position model. The record is from RNAcentral.
AUGCCCUACGGGGGGCAGCAGUGAGGAAUAUUGGUCAAUGGACGAGAGUCUGAACCAGCCAAGUAGCGUGAAGGAUGACUGCCCUAUGGGUUGUAAACUUCUUUUAUAUGGGAAUAAAACGUUCCACGUGUGGGAUUUUGUAUGUACCAUAUGAAUAAGGAUCGGCUAACUCCGUGCCAGCAGCCGCGGUAAUACGGAGGAUCCGAGCGUUAUCCGGAUUUAUCGGGUUUAAAGGGAGCGUAGGUGGAUUGUUAAGUCAGUUGUGAAAGUUUGCGGCUCAACCGUAAAAUUGCAGUUGAAACUGG